GAUGAACGCUGGCGGCGUGCCUAAUACAUGCAAGUCGAGCGAACAGACGAGGAGCUUGCUCCUCUGACGUUAGCGGCGGACGGGUGAGUAACACGUGGAUAACCUACCUAUAAGACUGGGAUAACUUCGGGAAACCGGGGCUAAUACCGGAUAAUAUAUUGAACCGCAUGGUUCAAUAGUGAAAGACGGUUUUGCUGUCACUUAUAGAUGGAUCCGCGCCGCAUUAGCUAGUUGGUAAGGUAACGGCUUACCAAGGCAACGAUGCGUAGCCGACCUGAGAGGGUGAUCGGCCACACUGGAACUGAGACACGGUCUAGACUCCUACGGGAGGCAGCAGUAGGGAAUCUUCCGCAAUGGGCGAAAGCCUGACGGAGCAACGCCGCGUGAGUGAUGAAGGUCUUCGGAUCGUAAAACUCUGUUAUUAGGGAAGAACAAAUGUGUAAGUAACUAUGCACGUCUUGACGGUACCUAAUCAGAAAGCCACGGCUAACUACGUG
RNAcentral lists this ribosomal RNA (497 nucleotides) under uncultured bacterium. Its description in RNAcentral is "partial 16S ribosomal RNA". It matches the Rfam family "Bacterial small subunit ribosomal RNA", at positions 28 to 507 of the family's 1533-position model. The record is from RNAcentral.